AUAUAGUAAUAAGCGCCUGGGCCUACGGGCUGACGAGGAUAACAGUUAUCGAAAGAUUCGGCGGGUACUGUUACGGUCAUGUGUGGAUCGAAAGAUAUCAGACAAAAGCAAGAUCAUAUGCUACAAAACUGAUUUCAUCACACGUU
Molecule: non-coding RNA, 146 nt
Filed under: Erysipelotrichaceae bacterium
Lineage: Bacteria; Bacillati; Bacillota; Erysipelotrichia; Erysipelotrichales; Erysipelotrichaceae
Description: GlcN6P sequence
Rfam family: glmS glucosamine-6-phosphate activated ribozyme aptamer
About the family: This entry contains a glucosamine-6-phosphate activated ribozyme that is found in the mRNA for GlmS. GlmS is an enzyme that uses fructose-6-phosphate and glutamine to generate glucosamine-6-phosphate.
Source: RNAcentral